Misgurnus anguillicaudatus (oriental weatherfish) is the source of this 2188-nucleotide non-coding RNA. NCBI's taxonomy places the organism in Eukaryota, Metazoa, Chordata, Actinopteri, Cypriniformes, Cobitidae. The record is from RefSeq and is a predicted model, not a curated record.
GGUGGAUUUGGACUGCCGCCUUUGGUUGGGCUGCUUUUCUGGGUCCAAAGGAGUCCAGUUAGAUGGGGGACACUGGGUGCCAGUUGGGGAGGAGUUAGCCAGGCUAUCGUUGUUUACUAUAGACCACCAGAAAGAGUGCUGCUGAGUUUUUCCGGGUCACUCUCAGAAAGGUCACUGGGUGCGUGUGGCCCAUGCUGGGCGUCUUGUUUUGCCUUCAGUAGAUAAGCGGCGAGCCCCAGCUCCUGCUCCAGAGAGGUGCGCUGAAGAGACCAGCAGCUGAUCACACGCAAGUCACAGUAUUUCAGAGAUCUAAGGAGACAGGUGAGGGGAAACAUAAACUUACAGUGAUUAUACUUUAAUUAUGCAUUUAUUAUAUGACAAGACGUGCUUGUUUUACCUGGGUAGAGAUUCUCCAAGUGGAUCCAUUCCCGUUAAAAUAAGUAUACAGGGUAAGGCUUCAAGCUCUAGGUAUGUGUGAGGAGCCCAGUCUGGAUCCACGAUCUUCAGCCAGACCUGCAGACAUAUAAUAAUGAUAUACCAUUAUUAAGGGAUAUCAAUUUAUAAUUAAAUGAACUAAUAACUGAAAAGUGCACAUACCUUCAGCUGGUCCAGGAAGUGUUUUCCCACAUUGAGAGAAGAGCACGGAUCUCCCAGGAUGAUCUCGAACUGCUUGUGGAGGCCGAGCUUGUUUCGGACGUGACAGAGGCGCUGGUGUGCGAGGGCAGCGAGGGCGGGUGAGGGGAUUCUCAGGAGGAUCAUGUGCCCGUGACGGCUGGGGCAUCGCUGGGAUGUGCUGAGGAGACACUGCAUCAUCUCAAGCGUCUCCACUGAGAUGUGUUUCUGCAGAGACUGUAAGGUCUGUCCGCCCGCAGUGGCCAUCAGAGCCAGGCAGCAGCCAUGCUUUCAAAUGAGCUAUCGUAUCGAAGCAGAGGAAGGCCGCUGCCGGAGUGCGUCGUCUCCAAAAGCUCUGAUACACCGAAAUACUUUGUUUUCUCAUGAUAGAGAUCCACAUCCUAGAAGAUCACCACGUAAUUGGUCUGACUCAGUCUGCCCUCGACCAGUCUGUGAAAGGUGUCUUCUAAAGCUUCCACCAGAGAGGGCGCCGUGUCCAGGACCAGGACUGCAUCUCCACAUGAGCUGGUGGCAAGCUUGGCCAGCCAGGGGAGUUGGGAGGGAGUGAGCGGCUGAGCUAAACAGGGAAGAGGAGUCGGAAACUGUGGAUGGGUCUGCUGGUACUGCCGGAUCUCCGUCAGGUGUGACUCGCGCCAGGAGCGCGUGAAGAUCUGCUCCAGGUCUUCCAUUUGAGGGGCCUGGUCAGGAGCUGUCGUAAGACAGGUAUCAUCAUCACCCAAGUCAGUGCAUCUCUAUUGGAUAUACGUUACACUUAUGAUCUCACCAUCAGUAGUACAACAUCCUUCUGGUGGGGGCUUCAUCUGAUAUGGUAUUGGAGGGCUGUUUGAAUCAGAGCCAUCUUCUUCAUCAUCUUCCUCAUCUAAUCGACCUGUUGAGGGAAUUCAUGUUCAUGAUAAUGUACACUGGGGUAUAGCUGAGAGAAUACAGGUCUGGGCACUACUGUGUUGGAGCGCAGUGACGCCUCUAUCGAAUUAUGAAGCAUUUCCUCGAACCGAGUGCUCUGAAGGUGACCUGUGUGUGAGUUCCCCAUGAUCUUUAAUAGAAAUGGAAGAACACAUAAGGUGAAACAGCAUUCAUCAGUAAGGAGAGCCUUACUUAAGCUGAUCAGGAAUCAGUGAAUCAAUCAACCUCACAGAACAGAAAUCAUCUGCAGUGUAAAACGAAUGGUGCUGUGAUUGUAUGACAGACUCGGCAGAGUGCCAGCUUCCCCUCAGGAAGUUAAAAAACAUCAUGGAGUUUUGCAGGGUGUCCAAUUUGCAACCUCAUAAAGCUACCAUAGCCAAUGUCAGGGCAUCCUGACCCAGACUGAGAGAGUGAGUGAGUGAGCGAGCGAGCGAGCGAGAGAAUGACCUCCCUCUAGCAAUAAACAAAAAGUUGGAAACUGGGAAAGGCUGAGCUCGAACGAAAAUGAAAAGGUUAUGUAAGCUGAAUGAUGUAUUUUAAGUUUGCUCUACUUAUAAGGAUAUAAAGCUUAAUCAAAUAUGUAUUUUUAUUAAAACAUCACAGAUACUGUAGACCAAGAAGAUAGAUAGACAUACAGACAGACAGACCGACC